CCUCUGCAGGUGGGAAUGUGUCUAUCAUCAUCCCAUGUGGCAAGGGAGGUAUCCCUUCCUUCUUCCAGGAGAUGCCACUUCAGCCUUGUCCUAAGAGAUUUUGAAGGGAAUGCAGCACCCUCUUCCUCAGACAAAAGGAGAGGUGCAGAAAGAACUGAAACCAUUUGGGAUGACACUUUCCAGGGCUAGAGUAUCCCGGAGGAUAGAUUAUUGUUUUGGAAAAUCCCUUCAGCUACUUUUGAAAAUUCUGGGAAAAAGAAAUGAAAUUCUCAUGGUACAUCACAGGUUCAACCUUUUGGCCCUGUGGGCCAGAAGAGUGGUGUGGGGCCAGGCUGAGGGCUGGAUUGGGCCCUGGUACCUGGAACUGCUUGCUUUUUGCCCCGCACACAGGCAUUGUGCCCCAGGGGCCUAGCACCACUCCUUCCUGCAGGGAUUGGAUCCUGGAGGCCUGACACCACCGCCUCCAACCCCUUGUGCAUCUGGAUUGGAUGUUGGGGGCCCGGUACCAUGCCCUCCCACUUUCCAUAUGCUGGGAUUUGGUUCUGGGGGUCUGACACCUUUACCAGCUGGCACUGAAUGCUGGGAUUGGGCUCCCCAGGGGUCCAGAGAUUUGGCAGUAGGGAAUCAUGAUGCUGUUCCCCACUGCCAAAUUCUGAACCCUGGGGCUGUCUUGUGGGCUAGAUGAUAUGAUGCCAUAGGCUGGCUCUCACCCAUGGCCCAGAAGUUUAGCACCCCUGUUAUAAACUAGUGGUACUCAACUUUUUGGCCUGGCAGACCAAAUGAGUGUCAGGGGUUGUUUGCUGGCCAGAUCGAGCCCCACACUCCAGGAUUUGGGCCCACCAUCACCCCCUCCCUGCUCUGAGAGCCAGGAGUGGGACCUGGGACCUGGCAUCAUCCCUUCACACCCCCAUGUUCCAUGCCCACCCAAUCCUGCAUGCUGGGAUCACCACCCAAUCCAGCAUACAGGGCCUGGGGCUCUCCAAGGGCCCAGAAAUUUGGCAGUGGAAGUGUGGUGCCACCAUGCUCCUGAUGCCAAAUUUCCAGACCUGUGGGAAGCCCCAUGGGCAGGCUCUGGACCACUGGUCAAGGAUUGAGCAUCCCUGCUUUAGAUGAAUGCACAUUUUAUAAUUUUUAAUCAUUUGCUUGAUAUGCCUUACCUGGGCUAUUUGGACAUUUAUAUCUUAUCUGUAUUUUUUAAAUUAAAUAUGCUAU
Long non-coding RNA from Alligator mississippiensis (American alligator), 1212 nucleotides. RefSeq lists it as uncharacterized. The record is from RefSeq and is a predicted model, not a curated record. Lineage: Eukaryota; Metazoa; Chordata; Crocodylia; Alligatoridae. The transcript has 3 exons.